AAACAUACUGUAACGGACCGUUUUGCACACAAGAGGUUAAAAACUGUUUAGGCGAUAUUCCCCUUUCAGAUGCACAGAAGCUACUACAAGCACCAAUCUCCUGAACUGGAACCACACGAAUCCUCCAACUCCCAAACAGGAAACACACGAACACUGGAAACAGCCGAACAGGAAAAGCAUACAAUUAGCUUACACUCCUGGCAAUGAGCAUACAAUCCAAUUCCCCCAAUAAAGAGAUGACACUUCGUUUUGAGAGUCAAGCAGAAUCUGGUUUACUGGGGCUACCUGCCCGGCUUUUAUGCAGGUCUCCCACCUGGUGGACACUCCCCUAGGGGACCAGAUAGAAGACUGGUAUACACAUUGGAGAUUGACCAAUCACAAGCUUACAAUCCCAC
This is a non-coding RNA of Pelobates cultripes (western spadefoot toad), 395 nucleotides long. The record is from the annotation of a GenBank genome assembly. Lineage: Eukaryota; Metazoa; Chordata; Amphibia; Anura; Pelobatidae.